RNAcentral lists this ribosomal RNA (494 nucleotides) under uncultured bacterium. Its description in RNAcentral is "partial 16S ribosomal RNA". It matches the Rfam family "Bacterial small subunit ribosomal RNA", at positions 28 to 507 of the family's 1533-position model. The record is from RNAcentral.
GACGAACGCUGGCGGCGUGCUUAACACAUGCAAGUCGAACGGUGAAGCGCCUUCCUUUUUGGUGGGUGUGGAUGAGUGGCGAACGGGUGAGUAACACGUGAGUAACCUGCCCCCUUCUUCUGGAUAACCGCAUGAAAGUGUGGCUAAUACGGGAUAUUCUGGGUCUGUCGCAUGAUGGGUCUGGGAAAGAUAUUGUUUCGGUGGGGGAUGGGCUCGCGGCCUAUCAGCUUGUUGGUGGGGUGAUGGCCUACCAAGGCGGUGACGGGUAGCCGGCCUGAGAGGGUGGACGGUCACACGGGGAAUGAGACACGGCCCAGACUCCUACGGGAGGCAGCAGUGGGGAAUAUUGCACAAUGGGCGCAAGCCUGAUGCAGCGACGCCGCGUGAGGGAUGGAGGCCUUCGGGUUGUGAACCUCUUUCGCCAGUGAAGCAGGCCUGCCUCGUUUGUGGGUGGGUUGACGGUAGCUGGAGAAGAAGCGCCGGCUAACUACGUG